AGUGAACGCUGGCGGUAGGCCUAACACAUGCAAGUCGAACGGCAGCACAGUAAGAGCUUGCUCUUACGGGUGGCGAGUGGCGGACGGGUGAGGAAUACAUCGGAAUCUACUUUUUCGUGGGGGAUAACGUAGGGAAACUUACGCUAAUACCGCAUACGACCUACGGGUGAAAUCAGGGGAUCUUCGGACCUUGCGCGAUCGAAUGAGCCGAUGUCGGAUUAGCUAGUUGGCGGGGUAAAGGCCCACCAAGGCGUCGAUCCGUAGCUGGUCUGAGAGGAUGAUCAGCCACACUGGAACUGAGACACGGUCCAGACUCCUACGGGAGGCAGCAGUGGGGAAUAUUGGACAAUGGGCGCAAGCCUGAUCCAGCCAUACCGCGUGGGUGAAGAAGGCCUUCGGGUUGUAAAGCCCUUUUGUUGGGAAAGAAAAGCAGCAGGUUAAUACCCCGCUGUUCUGACGGUACCCAAAGAAUAAGCACCGGCUAACUUCGUG
RNAcentral lists this ribosomal RNA (492 nucleotides) under uncultured bacterium. Its description in RNAcentral is "partial 16S ribosomal RNA". It matches the Rfam family "Bacterial small subunit ribosomal RNA", at positions 29 to 507 of the family's 1533-position model. The record is from RNAcentral.